Molecule: non-coding RNA, 560 nt
Organism: Pelobates cultripes (western spadefoot toad)
Lineage: Eukaryota; Metazoa; Chordata; Amphibia; Anura; Pelobatidae
Source: the annotation of a GenBank genome assembly
UUUAGGACUGUAUCUCAGUAGAUAGAUCCCCAGGCACUGCUAAGAUCUGUUCUGGACUGGAUAAUGAUUAAAUUGAUAACUGGUGUUCCUGGUAAUCAUUAGGCAGUUUAUUGUAACAGCUAUUGACCCAUGGUAUGGCACCAUUGGAAUUAUUGAAUACCAAUCUGCAGAAUGCCAAUUUAAUCCUUUAUUGGUCAUUGGCAUUAUCCGUGGUUAUUACAAUCUGUUUUAAAGACCUCAUUCCAGCAUAAAAAGCCCUGCUUAUUUAGCAUCAGCAACUACGCACAUCCCUACAAUCAUUAAAUGAGCAAUAGACCUUGCACUUGGGACAUAUAUUUUGUUUAAAGGCAGUAUAAUAGGAUGUUAGAAAAAUUUAUAGAAACCCUGAACUCCUUUUACCCUUGGAGGGCUUCCUUGACUAAAAAAAUCAGCCUUGACAUUGGAACCACCAAAACAUAAGACAUAUAAGAUAAAACAGAUUAUCAGAUAAAACACAUAUUGUAGUCCUCAGCACAAAAUAUUAUUAGUCUUGAGCAGAAUAAUUAACUAUAGUAUUCAAC